This 650-nucleotide ribosomal RNA is filed under the name Trichoderma citrinoviride. RNAcentral describes it as "eukaryotic LSU rRNA". The stretch from base 275 to 428 matches the Rfam family "5.8S ribosomal RNA". Lineage: Eukaryota; Fungi; Ascomycota; Sordariomycetes; Hypocreales; Hypocreaceae. The record is from RNAcentral.
GGUAGUAAAAGUCGUAACAAGGUCUCCGUUGGUGAACCAGCGGAGGGAUCAUUACCGAGUUUACAACUCCCAAACCCAAUGUGAACGUUACCAAUCUGUUGCCUCGGCGGGAUUCUCUGCCCCGGGCGCGUCGCAGCCCCGGAUCCCAUGGCGCCCGCCGGAGGACCAACUCAAACUCUUUUUUCUCUCCGUCGCGGCCUACGUCGCGGCUCUGUUUUAUUUUUGCUCUGAGCCUUUCUCGGCGACCCUAGCGGGCGUCUCGAAAAUGAAUCAAAACUUUCAACAACGGAUCUCUUGGUUCUGGCAUCGAUGAAGAACGCAGCGAAAUGCGAUAAGUAAUGUGAAUUGCAGAAUUCAGUGAAUCAUCGAAUCUUUGAACGCACAUUGCGCCCGCCAGUAUUCUGGCGGGCAUGCCUGUCCGAGCGUCAUUUCAACCCUCGAACCCCUCCGGGGGGUCGGCGUUGGGGAUCGGCCCCUCACCGGGCCGCCCCCGAAAUACAGUGGCGGUCUCGCCGCAGCCUCUCCUGCGCAGUAGUUUGCACACUCGCACCGGGAGCGCGGCGCGGCCACAGCCGUAAAACACCCCAAACUCUGAAAUGUUGACCUCGGAUCAGGUAGGAAUACCCGCUGAACUUAAGCAUAUCAAUAAG